GACGAACGCUGGCGGCGCGCUUAACACAUGCAAGUCGAACGGAAAGGCCUGCUUUCCCUUGUGGAUUGCGGGUACUCGAGUGGCGAACGGGUGAGUAACACGUGAGUGAUCUGCCCCCAACUUGGGUAUAAGCCUGGGAAACUGGGUCUAAUUCCCGAUAGGACUGCAGGGUGGUGCCUGUGGUGGCACACGCUUUUCUAGUGGUUGGGGAUGAGCUCGCGGCCUAUCAGCUUGUUGGUGGGGUAAUGGCCUAUCAAGGCGGCGACGGGUAGCCGGCCUGAGAUGGUGGACGGCCACAGUGGGACUGAGAUACGGCCCAGACUCCUACGGGAGGCAGCAGUGGGGAAUAUUGCACAAUGGGCGGAAGCCUGAUGCAGCGACGCCGCGUGGGGGAUGACUGCCUUCGGGUUGUAAACUCCUUUCGACCGCGAGGAAGCCACCUGGUUGGAAGGGUGGUGACGGUAGUGGUAGAAGAAGCACCGGCUAACUACGUG
Molecule: ribosomal RNA, 494 nt
Filed under: uncultured bacterium
Lineage: Bacteria
Description: partial 16S ribosomal RNA
Rfam family: Bacterial small subunit ribosomal RNA
Source: RNAcentral